GGCUUAUAAUUAUAAGUUAAGUUUUUAUGUAUGCAUGCAGUUAUAGCUAUUAGCCAGGCAAAAUAUAUUUAUAUAGCAAGAUAUCUAUAAAUCUAGAUAUAGAAAUGGAUCCCCAUAAUGAUUCUAGGAGACAACGCCAGAGGAGCAGCCAGAGCAUCCAGAGCGAAAGGGAUCCGAGCUUUUUAGACAGGACUCUUAAUACGCUGGGUUUUUGUGGGACUAAAACAUUAAUUCAGAACCUCCAGCAAAAAAUACAAGACCAGGAUGUGGUAAUCAAAGACCAGGAUACCAAGUUACAAAGCUUGUCUGUCAAACUAAAUGCUGAAUUUGGGCAACGUCAAGGGAAUUCUUUAGAAGACACUGAUGUGACAUCAUUGUGGAAUGAACUGUUUCUGUAUAAUGAAGCUGAGAGCUCGAGAGGCACAUCCACUUCACAAAAAAAUGAAACUCGUAGAGUCUUCUGUGAUAUAUUUAUGGAAAUCUAUGGCAGUGUACAAAAACAGCUCAUUGAGAGAAUGACUGCGUGCUUGAGGACUAUUUUCUCUUCUACUCAACCAAAUCCUGGGAGCUCAAAAAUAUAUCUCAAAGAUGUCCAGCGUGCUUUUUCUAUCCUUGUGUGGUUUGUUGAAAUCCCAACAAAUACGAAAGACUUCAGGCUAUCCAAAAUUGAUGAAAGAGCACAGACAGUACUCAUUGAGAGAAUGGCUGAAUGUUUGAGGGAUCUUUUCAUUCUUAAAAAAGCGUGGAAACCUGGGACUACUCAGAGCACUGAUUACCUGAAAGAUGUCCAGCGUGCUUUUUCUAUCCUUAUCUCGAUGGUGAAAGAGGAGGUCUUUGUGACUUCUGUAAGUCAUUACACUGCAUGUUGCAUGCUGCAUAAUUAUAAUUAUUAUGCGUGAUAUAAUUUAUAGCAUAAUUAUGUAUUAGUUAUUGCCCAGCAUGCAUGAGUGCAACAUGCCAUAUAUUUUACUGGAUGACGUGAUGCCCUCGGGCGCCUGCAAUAACUAACUUGUUGCCCAAUGACAUCAAAUUCUUCUGAUUGGUAAAUUUUUCCCUAUAAAUUGUAAUAAAAGACGUGCAUGCAUGUGUUUUGAGUGGAAUUUUAGUGAAUACAUUAGUUUGUUGAAUUUCAGUAAAUUCUAAGGUUUUGUUUCCACAACUAAUGAAAGGUAGAGUAUAUAGCCUAUAAAAGGGACCAAAUGAGUGAUUGGGUGGGUUGGUCCCAAAAGUAGAUUUCUUUCUAAAAAAACUACUGCAUUUGCAUAUAACCCCAGUGCAUUAUAUGCCAUAAUUAUAAUGCAGUGCAAUACAUGGUUGCUAUAAUUAUGCCUCGAGGCGUAGCCACACAAGGGAUACGGUAAAGCCCCCUCUGUGUGUGUGUGUGUGUGUGUGUGUGUGCACUGUAAAAACAGGGUGGUGACCGUCACUACCAAAUGUGGUGAUGGUCACUACAUAAGCGAAUCACUACAUGGUGGUGAUUUAUGUACCGUAUAGCGCGAAAUUUUCGAGGCACUUAUAUUUCGUGGAUUGGCCUCUAAAAGCCAUUUCGUUGCACAAUGUUCGCGGAAUGACUGCUUACCGGAAGCCACGCCUUUAGAUCUUGCACGUUAUAGCAGGUAAAGAACGAUUUUCGUGGACUUAAUUUUCGUGUAGGAUUGCUAACCCACGAAAUCCACGAAAAUUAAGCCCCUCGAAAAUUUCGCGCUAUACGGUAUGUGGUGAUCCUCACUACCAAUCACAGUGACGGUCACUACCUAAGUCCUACCACAUAGCUCAAUACCAACUGUGGUGACGGUCACUACCAAAGUCCUUCACUACAUUCAACCUCCGCCAUGUCUCUAUAGUACUGUCCUAAGUCCUUCAUCACAGUGUGCAUGCAGUGGUACCUCUCACUUAACUUACUGUUCCCUGUACCUUCUCAUGUGUGAGGUCACAAGCUCCAUUAAUUAUUAUUUUAUAGAUAAUUAUAGGCAUGCAGCAUGCAAUGUGAUACUUUAAUAUUUCAUGGUGAAAGUCACAAGUUGUCAUUUUUACGGUCUAUCCUGCUACCGUCGAAGACCAAGUCAGAAGAAUACAACGGACUAUAAAUAUUCUAUAUCAGUGCAUGACGACUGUUUGGUCGGCUACUUACUAUAAUUAUAAUUAUACGAUAAUGUAAUGGUGUCUUUUUAAUAUCCACCACUGACUGUAAACUUGAAACAACAUGAAGUUUACCUAACACACUUGCGGUACACAAUUUUAAUAUUGUUCUUGUAUAGCUACAAUUGCUCCUCCCCUAACAAUGAUGACAAACUGGGACAUAAAUAAUACGACCACUCCCCACAGGUACAGACGUAAGCUUUGGUUGUAACUUUAAGGCAAUCAGCAUCAAUAAUAAUUAUGCCGUUAAAUCUAAGGGAGUGACAAACUCAGGCAGAUGCUUGAUGGAUCUAGUUUGCUGACUAAAUAUAAAGGCUGCAAAGAGGCCCCAUGGUGCCCUGAUAUCUCACUAAGCUUUUUUGCCUGAGCAGCAUUCCAUAUUCUGCAAUAAAAGAGAAGCAUGAGAUUAUUAAUCCAUAGACGUAUAAUGUUACUGCUAGCUUGAACAGUUACAAUGGCAUAUCUGCAUUCAUAUUAAGGCCAGUACACAAUAAUAAAAGAUUUUACCAAACAAAAUAAUUAACAAUUGAUUCACACACGUAUUUACAAAUACAAUUACUAGUUGAAGCGAUGUAUUAAUUGUGUAACAUCUUUGAAAAGAGGUUUCUGUACCUGGUCGAUCAACACGCAACACGACUUACUGCUAACCCGUACCAGGUAGAUCUAGAUUUAGUGGUCUAUUUUACAGAAACUGAGUCACCAAGACAUAGUCAACACGCAACCCGGCUUACUGUUAACCAUAAUUGCCUCAGUAAAACAGUUCAUGGAAUGCUUUUACUAUAAGAUGUUACACGACAUCAACAUGCUCCAUAUCUAAGCUACAUGAUUCAACACUAUUCAUCCACACACUACUAUUCCUUAUCCUUUGGUAGCAGCAAUAAUUAUAAGACUGCCAAAUGCCUUUCCUUGUCACUGAAUUGAACUGUAAUAGGAAGAUCUAGUUAGCUUGCUAGCUCCUUCCAUGGCCAUAUCCAUAUCUUCACUUGCGCGCUCUUGUUUGUUGAAUAGACCUAUGACCAAAUAAGGGCACGUGCAAUUAUGCAGCUGCAGAUUUGCAGCUGCACACAUCAACAAAAAUUUAUUUGCUGGAGUUUUUAAGGAAGCAGACAAGUUGAGCUUUUAGAGAACGCUUUGAGAGUUGUUUGACAAAACUGUGUAACUAGAACUGAAUUUCUCCUGAAGGACAAGCAAAGCGCAAGUAAACACUUCAUUAGGGCUUAAACAAGGGGAGACCAAAGCCCAUUGCCCUAAGCUUCAUUCAGCAUGCACAACACAAGAUAUGAAGUAAAAAAAAACGUGUGGAGCAACCAUACUACUGGACACCCUAAGUAUAGACAUAAAUCAAGGAGGAGGGAGGAGGUUGGGAUGUAAAGACAGCCAAGAACUGAUGAUCAACUCAAGCCAUUAGACACUGUCAUUAUUAUACUCUGUUAGGCUAGUAAGCAUAAUGCUUGUUAUUAUUUUCUGUGCACAUUUUCAGAAUUUUUGUAUAGUGAUUUUUACUAGUUCUGGUGAUGUUCACUACCUAAAUGUAGUGAUCGUCACUACUUAAAUGUAGUGAUUUGAAAAAGUGGUGAGGGUCACCAGUCGAUUUGCGGUGACUAUUGUGGCAGCCGUUUCACUACCUUUUGGUGGUGACGGUCACUUUCCAGUUUUUACAGUGUGUAUUCCAGCGGUAACUGAUCA
This is a long non-coding RNA of Halichondria panicea, 3825 nucleotides long. RefSeq lists it as uncharacterized. The transcript has 9 exons. NCBI's taxonomy places the organism in Eukaryota, Metazoa, Porifera, Demospongiae, Suberitida, Halichondriidae. The record is from RefSeq and is a predicted model, not a curated record.